CCCCAGACUCCUACGGGAGGCAGCAGUGAGGAAUAUUGGUCAAUGGUCGGGAGACUGAACCAGCCAAGCCGCGUGAGGGAUGAAGGUACAGAGUAUCGUAAACCUCUUUUGUCAGGGAACAAAGGCGGGGACGUGUCCCCGGAUGAGUGUACCUGAAGAAAAAGCAUCGGCUAACUCCGUGCCAGCGGCCGCGGUAAUACGGAGGAUGCGAGCGUUAUCCGGAUUUAUUGGGUUUAAAGGGGGCGCAGGCGGUGUGUAAAGCGAGGGGUGAAAGCCCGGGGCCCACCCCCGGCCCGCCGUUGAAACUGGCAGUCUCGAGUUGGAGAGAAGUAUGCGGAAUGCGCGGUGUAGCGGUGAAAUGCAUAGAUAUCGCGCAGAACUCCGAUUGCGAAGGCAGCAUGCCGGCUCCACACUGACGCUGAGGCACGAAAGCGUGGGUAUCGAACAGGAUUAGAUACCCUAGUAA
RNAcentral lists this ribosomal RNA (466 nucleotides) under uncultured bacterium. RNAcentral describes it as "bacterial SSU rRNA". It matches the Rfam family "Bacterial small subunit ribosomal RNA", at positions 329 to 793 of the family's 1533-position model. The record is from RNAcentral.